RNAcentral lists this ribosomal RNA (254 nucleotides) under uncultured bacterium. RNAcentral describes it as "partial 16S ribosomal RNA". It matches the Rfam family "Bacterial small subunit ribosomal RNA", at positions 524 to 776 of the family's 1533-position model. The record is from RNAcentral.
UACGUAGGGUGCAAGCGUUGUCCGGAAUUAUUGGGCGUAAAGAGCUCGUAGGCGGUUCGUCGCGUCGGCUGUGAAAACCUGAGGCUCAACCUCAGGCCUGCAGUCGAUACGGGCGGACUUGAGUACUGCAGGGGAGACUGGAAUUCCUGGUGUAGCGGUGAAAUGCGUAGAUAUCCGGAGGAACACCGGUGGCGAAGGCGGCUUCCUGGACCGAUUACUGACGCUGAGGCGCGAAAGCUAGGGGAGCAAACGGG